Molecule: ribosomal RNA, 201 nt
Filed under: Salmonella enterica subsp. enterica serovar Infantis
Lineage: Bacteria; Pseudomonadati; Pseudomonadota; Gammaproteobacteria; Enterobacterales; Enterobacteriaceae
Description: partial 16S ribosomal RNA
Rfam family: Bacterial small subunit ribosomal RNA
Source: RNAcentral
UAACUACUGGAAACGGUGGCUAAUACCGCAUAACGUCGCAAGACCAAAGAGGGGGACCUUCGGGCCUCUUGCCAUCAGAUGUGCCCAGAUGGGAUUAGCUGGUUGGUGAGGUAACGGCUCACCAAGGCGACGAUCCCUAGCUGGUCUGAGAGGAUGACCAGCCACACUGGAACUGAGACACGGUCCAGACUCCUACGGGAG